This 122-nucleotide ribosomal RNA is filed under the name Carlito syrichta (Philippine tarsier). The record is from RNAcentral. Lineage: Eukaryota; Metazoa; Chordata; Mammalia; Primates; Tarsiidae.
CCCUAUGGCCAUACCACCCUGAAUGCGCCAGUCUUGUCUGAUCUUGGAGGCGAAGCAGGCUCCAUUGACCCCAGUGAGUACUUGGAUGGGAGACCACUUGGGAUUACCAGGUGCUGUAGGCU